This 1584-nucleotide long non-coding RNA is filed under the name Junco hyemalis (dark-eyed junco). RNAcentral describes it as "lncRNA (ENSJHYG00000017670.1)". Lineage: Eukaryota; Metazoa; Chordata; Aves; Passeriformes; Passerellidae. The record is from RNAcentral.
AGAAACUGGAGGGGGAGGAAAGGGCUGAUCUCAAGGAGCUGAAGAGCCACAAGUCCUUCUCCUGUGGGUGGCACACAUUAUUCAGGAUCAGAACUCACAUGCUUGGCCUUCUAUCAGGCCACUUUUUCAUCUGUUCCACUGUCUCCAGUGAUCUUUUAAAAUCUUAUCAAAAGGGUUCAUGAUUCUCAGAGAAAGAGCCUCAGCAGAAGGAGCUGAAGCAGCUGGGGGGAUGCAGUGUCUGAAGGGAUGUAAUAAAUGCAUUUCUUUCCCUACAGCACUUCCUCUGGAAUUGCUGAAAGCAAGCUGGCACUGAAAUUAGGGGUGGUCUUUUGGGAGUCAACUUUCCAUCAUGUUUCUCUUGUCUUCUUUCAGGCUAUUGAGAAAUGGAAUGUAGACAAGAAUCUUGAGGAGCUAGAGCAGCAGGGAGAUAAAACUCGUGCAGAAGUUGCUUUCUUCCCAGCAGAUUAUGAGUCCUUCAGGAGGAAGUGUGAAGAGGAGCUCAUGGAAAGGCUGGGAGAUCUGUGUGCCAGGCAGACCAGGGCAGUGUCCCCUCCCUGUGAGAGGCCACCAGCCAAGCUCUGCUCCUUCCAGGGACAGCAGGACAAUAAGGAUGUUGCCUUGCCCUCAUCCCCACCAAGUUCUCUGAGGAUGGGCAGGAUGAGUUUCCAGGACGUGCCAAAACGUGCAACUGUGUACAUAGAUUUGAGAGAUGCUGAGCCACCAAAGCCAGUGACAGUCCCUGAAGAGAAACAAAGUGCAAGUGACAGCUCCUCCUCCUCCUCUGAAGAAGAAGAAGAAGAGACUGUGACAAUUCAGGAUGAAGCAGGAAGGAGAAUGAGGAAUUGCUCAGGGAAGAGCCUGUUACUGCAACAACUCCGAGCAGCCCGGAAGGAGGCCUUGGGGCUUCUUCACAAAACAUCUCUUCCAGCUGAGAAACUGCAGCCAGAAAGGCUGGAAGACACAGCUUCCUCUAAUAAAAGUCAAACCCAAUCUUGUAAAGUGAGGCAAGAGACAAAUGAGGUGGUUCCCAGGAAACUGAUGAGAUUGGAACCAGGCAAGGAAAGUCUCCCCUUUUCAAGCUGUGGGGGUGACAGAGCUGACACAGAGAAAGAGAAGAAAAUGGAAGCUGAGAAGAUUCCAAGUGCAGGAAAUGCUCCAGAGUGUCCUCUAAUUACAGCAGAAUUGCCAAGGUAUCCCACAGGAAAACUAAUCAGAGGGUUUGGAUGUGGCUUCUCUAAUUGCCCAGGAUUAAAGAAAAUUGCUUACCUGGGCUGUGAGCUGGAGCAAGAGGGUGUCUGGAUUUGUUACCUGGCAAGAACAACAGUCCUGGCAGCUGCUGCUGGAAGGUUUAGAGGCAGCCUCAGCAGGGCCUGGCAUUAGAUGAGCUGUGGCACUCCUGACAUUGGAAAUGGAGCCUUUUUCUAUAGCUUUUAUCCUACAGAAGAAGAGGAUAACACAGUAUUGAUCUCCCUUAGGAACAACAGCACUGAGGUUUCCUAAGCACAACUUCCUAGAAAAUAGGUCUGGAAGGGUCAGUCUCCCUGUGCCAAUAAAGAGUGAGGUAAAAUGUAAUAUCUCCUGGCA